Molecule: ribosomal RNA, 2787 nt
Filed under: Escherichia coli
Lineage: Bacteria; Pseudomonadati; Pseudomonadota; Gammaproteobacteria; Enterobacterales; Enterobacteriaceae
Description: bacterial LSU rRNA
Rfam family: Bacterial large subunit ribosomal RNA
Source: RNAcentral
AGCGUACACGGUGGAUGCCCUGGCAGUCAGAGGCGAUGAAGGACGUGCUAAUCUGCGAUAAGCGUCGGUGAGGUGAUAUGAACCGUUAUAACCGGCGAUUUCCGAAUGGGGAAACCCAGUGUGAUUCGUCACACUAUCAUUAACUGAAUCCAUAGGUUAAUGAGGCGAACCGGGGGAACUGAAACAUCUAAGUACCCCGAGGAAAAGAAAUCAACCGAGAUUCCCCCAGUAGCGGCGAGCGAACGGGGAGGAGCCCAGAGCCUGAAUCAGUGUGUGUGUUAGUGGAAGCGUCUGGAAAGGCGUGCGAUACAGGGUGACAGCCCCGUACACAAAAAUGCACAUAUUGUGAGCUCGAUGAGUAGGGCGGGACACGUGGUAUCCUGUCUGAAUAUGGGGGGACCAUCCUCCAAGGCUAAAUACUCCUGACUGACCGAUAGUGAACCAGUACCGUGAGGGAAAGGCGAAAAGAACCCCGGCGAGGGGAGUGAAAAAGAACCUGAAACCGUGUACGUACAAGCAGUGGGAGCCUCUUAAUGGGGUGACUGCGUACCUUUUGUAUAAUGGGUCAGCGACUUAUAUUCUGUAGCAAGGUUAACCGAAUAGGGGAGCCGAAGGGAAACCGAGUCUUAACUGGGCGUUAAGUUGCAGGGUAUAGACCCGAAACCCGGUGAUCUAGCCAUGGGCAGGUUGAAGGUUGGGUAACACUAACUGGAGGACCGAACCGACUAAUGUUGAAAAAUUAGCGGAUGACUUGUGGCUGGGGGUGAAAGGCCAAUCAAACCGGGAGAUAGCUGGUUCUCCCCGAAAGCUAUUUAGGUAGCGCCUCGUGAAUUCAUCUCCGGGGGUAGAGCACUGUUUCGGCAAGGGGGUCAUCCCGACUUACCAACCCGAUGCAAACUGCGAAUACCGGAGAAUGUUAUCACGGGAGACACACGGCGGGUGCUAACGUCCGUCGUGAAGAGGGAAACAACCCAGACCGCCAGCUAAGGUCCCAAAGUCAUGGUUAAGUGGGAAACGAUGUGGGAAGGCCCAGACAGCCAGGAUGUUGGCUUAGAAGCAGCCAUCAUUUAAAGAAAGCGUAAUAGCUCACUGGUCGAGUCGGCCUGCGCGGAAGAUGUAACGGGGCUAAACCAUGCACCGAAGCUGCGGCAGCGACACUAUGUGUUGUUGGGUAGGGGAGCGUUCUGUAAGCCUGUGAAGGUGGCCUGUGAGGGUUGCUGGAGGUAUCAGAAGUGCGAAUGCUGACAUAAGUAACGAUAAAGCGGGUGAAAAGCCCGCUCGCCGGAAGACCAAGGGUUCCUGUCCAACGUUAAUCGGGGCAGGGUGAGUCGACCCCUAAGGCGAGGCCGAAAGGCGUAGUCGAUGGGAAACAGGUUAAUAUUCCUGUACUUGGUGUUACUGCGAAGGGGGGACGGAGAAGGCUAUGUUGGCCGGGCGACGGUUGUCCCGGUUUAAGCGUGUAGGCUGGUUUUCCAGGCAAAUCCGGAAAAUCAAGGCUGAGGCGUGAUGACGAGGCACUACGGUGCUGAAGCGACAAAUGCCCUGCUUCCAGGAAAAGCCUCUAAGCAUCAGGUAACAUCAAAUCGUACCCCAAACCGACACAGGUGGUCAGGUAGAGAAUACCAAGGCGCUUGAGAGAACUCGGGUGAAGGAACUAGGCAAAAUGGUGCCGUAACUUCGGGAGAAGGCACGCUGAUAUGUAGGUGAAGCGACUUGCUCGUGGAGCUGAAAUCAGUCGAAGAUACCAGCUGGCUGCAACUGUUUAUUAAAAACACAGCACUGUGCAAACACGAAAGUGGACGUAUACGGUGUGACGCCUGCCCGGUGCCGGAAGGUUAAUUGAUGGGGUUAGCGGUAACGCGAAGCUCUUGAUCGAAGCCCCGGUAAACGGCGGCCGUAACUAUAACGGUCCUAAGGUAGCGAAAUUCCUUGUCGGGUAAGUUCCGACCUGCACGAAUGGCGUAAUGAUGGCCAGGCUGUCUCCACCCGAGACUCAGUGAAAUUGAACUCGCUGUGAAGAUGCAGUGUACCCGCGGCAAGACGGAAAGACCCCGUGAACCUUUACUAUAGCUUGACACUGAACAUUGAGCCUUGAUGUGUAGGAUAGGUGGGAGGCUUUGAAGUGUGGACGCCAGUCUGCAUGGAGCCGACCUUGAAAUACCACCCUUUAAUGUUUGAUGUUCUAACGUGGGCCCCUUACCGGGGUUGCGGACAGUGUCUGGUGGGUAGUUUGACUGGGGCGGUCUCCUCCUAAAGAGUAACGGAGGAGCACGAAGGUUGGCUAAUCCUGGUCGGACAUCAGGAGGUUAGUGCAAUGGCAUAAGCCAGCUUGACUGCGAGCGUGACGGCGCGAGCAGGUGCGAAAGCAGGUCAUAGUGAUCCGGUGGUUCUGAAUGGAAGGGCCAUCGCUCAACGGAUAAAAGGUACUCCGGGGAUAACAGGCUGAUACCGCCCAAGAGUUCAUAUCGACGGCGGUGUUUGGCACCUCGAUGUCGGCUCAUCACAUCCUGGGGCUGAAGUAGGUCCCAAGGGUAUGGCUGUUCGCCAUUUAAAGUGGUACGCGAGCUGGGUUUAGAACGUCGUGAGACAGUUCGGUCCCUAUCUGCCGUGGGCGCUGGAGAACUGAGGGGGGCUGCUCCUAGUACGAGAGGACCGGAGUGGACGCAUCACUGGUGUUCGGGUUGUCAUGCCAAUGGCACUGCCCGGUAGCUAAAUGCGGAAGAGAUAAGUGCUGAAAGCAUCUAAGCACGAAACUUGCCCCGAGAUGAGUUCUCCCUGACUCCUUGA